CGGCGGACGGGUGAGUAACACGUGGAUAACCUACCUAUAAAACUGGGAUAACUUCGGGAAACCGGAGCUAAUACCGGAUAAUAUAUUGAACCGCACGGUUCAAUAGUGAAAGACGGUUUUGCUGUCACUUAUAGAUGGAUCCGCGCCGCAUUAGCUAGUUGGUAAGGUAACGGCUUACCAAGGCAACGAUGCGUAGCCGACCUGAGAGGGUGAUCGGCCACACUGGAACUGAGACACGGUCCAGACUCCUACGGGAGGCAGCAGCA
Molecule: ribosomal RNA, 266 nt
Filed under: uncultured Staphylococcus sp.
Lineage: Bacteria; Bacillati; Bacillota; Bacilli; Caryophanales; Staphylococcaceae
Description: partial 16S ribosomal RNA
Rfam family: Bacterial small subunit ribosomal RNA
Source: RNAcentral